UACGUAGGGGGCAAGCGUUUGUCCGGAUUAUUGGGCGUAAAGAGCGUGUAGGCGGCCAUACAGGUCAGCUGUGAAAACUCGAGGCUCAACCUCGAGACGUCGGUUGAAACCGUAUGGCUAGAGUCCGGAAGAGGAGAGUGGAAUUCCCGGUGGUAGCGGUGAAAUGCGCCAGAUAUCGGGAAGAACACCCGUGGCGAAGGCGGCUCUCUGGGACGGUACUGACGCUGAGACGCGAAAAG
This 239-nucleotide ribosomal RNA is filed under the name uncultured bacterium. Its description in RNAcentral is "partial 16S ribosomal RNA". It matches the Rfam family "Bacterial small subunit ribosomal RNA", at positions 524 to 760 of the family's 1533-position model. The record is from RNAcentral.